UCAGCCACAUUGGGACUGAGACACGGCCCAAACUCCUACGGGAGGCAGCAGUGGGGAAUCUUGCACAAUGGAGGAAACUCUGAUGCAGCGAUGCCGCGUGAGUGAAGAAGGCCCUUGGGUUGUAAAGCUCUUUCGUCGGGGAAGAAAAUGACUGUACCCGAAUAAGAAGGUCCGGCUAACUUCGUGCCAGCAGCCGCGGUAAUACGAAGGGACCUAGCGUAGUUCGGAAUUACUGGGCUUAAAGAGUUCGUAGGUGGUUGAAAAAGUUAGUGGUGAAAUCCCAGAGCUUAACUCUGGAACUGCCAUUAAAACUUUUCAGCUAGAGUAUGAUAGAGGAAAGCAGAAUUUCUAGUGUAGAGGUGAAAUUCGUAGAUAUUAGAAAGAAUACCAAUUGCGAAGGCAGCUUUCUGGAUCAUUACUGACACUGAGGAACGAAAGCAUGGGUAGCGAAGAGGAUUAGAUACCCUCGUAGUCCAUGCCGUAAACGAUGUGUGUUAGACGUUGGAAAUUUAUUUUCAGUGUCGCAGGGAAACCGAUAAACACACCGCCUGGGGAGUACGACCGCAAGGUUAAAACUCAAAUGAAUUGACGGGGACCCGCACAAGUAGUGGAGCAUGUGGUUUAAUUCGAAGAUACGCGCAGAACCUUACCAACACUUGACAUGUUCGUCGCGACUCUAAGAGAUUAGAGUUUUCGGUUCGGCCGGACGAAACACAGGUGCUGCAUGGCUGUCGUCAGCUCGUGUCGUGAGAUGUUGGGUUAAGUCCCGCAACGAGCGCAACUCUCACUUUUAGUUGCCAUCAUUAAGUUGGGCACUCUGAAAGAACUGCCAGUGAUAAGCUGG
This 844-nucleotide ribosomal RNA is filed under the name marine metagenome. Its description in RNAcentral is "bacterial SSU rRNA". It matches the Rfam family "Bacterial small subunit ribosomal RNA", at positions 304 to 1166 of the family's 1533-position model. The record is from RNAcentral.